GGGCAACCCUGGUGGCGAGUGGCGAACGGGUGAGUAAAGCAUCGGAACGUGCCCUGGAGUGGGGGAUAACGUAGCGAAAGUUACGCUAAUACCGCAUAUUCUGUGAGCAGGAAAGCAGGGGAUCGCAAGACCUUGUGCUCUGGGAGCGGCCGAUGUCGGAUUAGCUAGUUGGUGGGGUAAAGGCCUACCAAGGCGACGAUCCGUAGCGGGUCUGAGAGGAUGAUCCGCCACACUGGGACUGAGACACGGCCCAGACUCCUACGGGAGGCAGCAGUGGGGAAUUUUGGACAAUGGGCGAAAGCCUGAUCCAGCCAUGCCGCGUGAGUGAAGAAGGCCUUCGGGUUGUAAAGCUCUUUCGGUGGGGAAGAAAUUGCACGGGUUAAUAGCCUGUGUAGAUGACGGUACCUGGAGAAGAAGCACCGGCUAACUACGUGCCAGCAGCCGCGGUAAUACGUAGGGUGCGAGCGUUAAUCGGAAUUACUGGGCGUAAAGCGUGCGCAGGCGGUUUGGUAAGUCAGAUGUGAAAUCCCCGGGCUCAACCUGGGAACUGCAUUUGAGACUGCCAAGCUGGAGUUUGGCAGAGGGGGGUGGAAUUCCACGUGUAGCAGUGAAAUGCGUAGAGAUGUGGAGGAACACCGAUGGCGAAGGCAGCCCCCUGGGCCCAUACUGACGCUCAUGC
RNAcentral lists this ribosomal RNA (679 nucleotides) under uncultured bacterium. RNAcentral describes it as "bacterial SSU rRNA". It matches the Rfam family "Bacterial small subunit ribosomal RNA", at positions 77 to 752 of the family's 1533-position model. The record is from RNAcentral.